GGAGAUGUGCCAGAGUGGCCGAAUGGGACUCACUGCUAAUGAGUUGCCUGCUUAACAGCGGGCCGGAGGUUCGAAUCCUCUCAUCUCCG
Molecule: transfer RNA, 89 nt
Filed under: Corynebacterium pseudodiphtheriticum
Lineage: Bacteria; Bacillati; Actinomycetota; Actinomycetes; Mycobacteriales; Corynebacteriaceae
Also listed under: 5 other names
Description: tRNA-Ser
Rfam family: tRNA
About the family: Transfer RNA (tRNA) molecules are approximately 80 nucleotides in length. Their secondary structure includes four short double-helical elements and three loops (D, anti-codon, and T loops).
Source: RNAcentral